RNAcentral lists this ribosomal RNA (379 nucleotides) under Nanobdellota archaeon. RNAcentral's name for it is "bacterial SSU rRNA". It matches the Rfam family "Archaeal small subunit ribosomal RNA", at positions 1 to 384 of the family's 1478-position model. Lineage: Archaea; Nanobdellati; Nanobdellota. The record is from RNAcentral.
AUACCUGUUUAUCCUGCAGGAGGUUGCUGCUAUCAGAAUCCGGCUAAGACAUGCAAGUAAUUGCCGCAAGGCAAUGCAGAUUGCUCAGUAACACGUCGAUAACGUAACGUGAAGUUCGGAAUAACCUUGGGAAACUGAGGAUAAUACCGAAUCGGGAACAAUGUGUGGAAUCCUAUUGUUCCAGAAAGCUCCGGCGCUUCACGAUCGGUCGGCGGCCCAUCAGGUAGUUGGUGAGGUAAUGGCUCACCAAGCCUAAGACGGGUAGGGGCCUUGAGAGAGGUUGCCCCGAGAGGGACACUGAGAUACUGGUCCCAGCCCUAAGGGGUGCAGCAGUCGCGAAAACUUCGCAAUGCACGGAAGUGUGACGAGGGGAUUCUGA